RNAcentral lists this ribosomal RNA (935 nucleotides) under uncultured bacterium. RNAcentral describes it as "bacterial SSU rRNA". It matches the Rfam family "Bacterial small subunit ribosomal RNA", at positions 26 to 933 of the family's 1533-position model. The record is from RNAcentral.
AGAAUGAACGCUGGCGGCGUGCUUAACACAUGCAAGUCGUACGAGAACUCUUUAGCUUGCUAAAGACAGUAAAGUGGCGCACGGGUGAGUAACGCGUGGGUAAUCUACCUUCGAAUCGGGGAUAACAUUGCGAAAGCGAUGCUAAUACCGGAUAAUAUCUCAAAACCAUCUGGUUUUGAGAUCAAAAAUGGCCUCUACAUGUAAGCUGUUGUUUGGAGAUGAGCCCGCGUACCAUUAGCUUGUUGGUAGGGUAAUGGCCUACCAAGGCAACGAUGGUUAGCUGGUCUGAGAGGAUGAUCAGCCACACUGGAACUGACACACGGUCCAGACUCCUACGGGAGGCAGCAGUGAGGAAUUUUGCGCAAUGGGGGAAACCCUGACGCAGCAACGCCGCGUGAGUGAUGAAGGCCUUCGGGUCGUAAAGCUCUGUCAAGUGGGAAGAAAAUGUAAAAUGUUAAUACCAUUUUUCACUGACGGUACCACUGAAGGAAGCACCGGCUAACUCCGUGCCAGCAGCCGCGGUAAUACGGAGGGUGCAAGCGUUAUUCGGAAUUAUUGGGCGUAAAGGGCGCGUAGGCGGCCUUUUAAGUCAGAUGUGAAAGCCCGGGGCUUAACCCCGGAAGUGCAUUUGAAACUAAAGGGCUUGAGUAUGGGAGAGGGAAGUGGAAUUCCUGGUGUAGCGGUGAAUGCGUAGGUAUCAGGAGGAACACCGGUGGCGAAGGCGACUUCCUGGACCAAUACUGACGCUAAGGCGCGAAGGCGUGGGUAGCAAACAGGAUUAGAUACCCUGGUAGUCCACGCAGUAAACGGUGAACACUAGGUGUAGCGGGUAUUGACCCCUGCUGUGCCGCAGCUAACGCAUUAAGUGUUCCGCCUGGGGAGUACGGUCGCAAGAUUAAAACUCAAAGGAAUUGACGGGGGCCCGCACAAGCGGU